GACGAACGCUGGCGGCGUGCCUAAUACAUGCAAGUUGAGCGCUGAAGGUUGGUACUUGUACCAACUGGAUGAGCAGCGAACGGGUGAGUAACGCGUGGGGAAUCUGCCUUUGAGCGGGGGACAACAUUUGGAAACGAAUGCUAAUACCGCAUAAAAACUUUAAACACAAGUUUUAAGUUUGAAAGAUGCAAUUGCAUCACUCAAAGAUGAUCCCGCGUUGUAUUAGCUAGUUGGUGAGGUAAAGGCUCACCAAGGCGAUGAUACAUAGCCGACCUGAGAGGGUGAUCGGCCAAAAUGGGACUGAGACACGGCCCAAACUCCUACGGGAGGGAGCAGGAGGGGAUCUUCGGCAAUGGAGGAAAGUCUGAACGGGCAACGCCGCGGGAGUGAAGAAGGGUCUCGGAUCGUAAAACUCUGUUGGUAGGGAAGAAAGUUGGUGAGAGUGGAAAGCUCAUCAAGUGACGGUAACUACCCAGAAAGGGACGGCUAACUACGUG
This 497-nucleotide ribosomal RNA is filed under the name uncultured bacterium. Its description in RNAcentral is "partial 16S ribosomal RNA". It matches the Rfam family "Bacterial small subunit ribosomal RNA", at positions 28 to 507 of the family's 1533-position model. The record is from RNAcentral.